CUUCCAGGAAAAGCCUCUAAGCAUCAGGUAACAUCAAAUCGUACCCCAAACCGACACAGGUGGUCAGGUAGAGAAUACCAAGGCGCUUGAGAGAACUCGGGUGAAGGAACUAGGCAAAAUGGUGCCGUAACUUCGGGAGAAGGCACGCUGAUAUGUAGGUGAAGUCCCUCGCGGAUGGAGCUGAAAUCAGUCGAAGAUACCAGCUGGCUGCAACUGUUUAUUAAAAACACAGCACUGUGCAAACACGAAAGUGGACGUAUACGGUGUGACGCCUGCCCGGUGCCGGAAGGUUAAUUGAUGGGGUCAGCGCAAGCGAAGCUCUUGAUCGAAGCCCCGGUAAACGGCGGCCGUAACUAUAACGGUCCUAAGGUAGCGAAAUUCCUUGUCGGGUAAGUUCCGACCUGCACGAAUGGCGUAAUGAUGGCCAGGCUGUCUCCACCCGAGACUCAGUGAAAUUGAACUCGCUGUGAAGAUGCAGUGUACCCGCGGCAAGACGGAAAGACCCCGUGAACCUUUACUAUAGCUUGACACUGAACAUUGAGCCUUGAUGUGUAGGAUAGGUGGGAGGCUUUGAAGUGUGGACGCCAGUCUGCAUGGAGCCGACCUUGAAAUACCACCCUUUAAUGUUUGAUGUUCUAACGUUGACCCGUAAUCCGGGUUGCGGACAGUGUCUGGUGGGUAGUUUGACUGGGGCGGUCUCCUCCUAAAGAGUAACGGAGGAGCACGAAGGUUGGCUAAUCCUGGUCGGACAUCAGGAGGUUAGUGCAAUGGCAUAAGCCAGCUUGACUGCGAGCGUGACGGCGCGAGCAGGUGCGAAAGCAGGUCAUAGUGAUCCGGUGGUUCUGAAUGGAAGGGCCAUCGCUCAACGGAUAAAAGGUACUCCGGGGAUAACAGGCUGAUACCGCCCAAGAGUUCAUAUCGACGGCGGUGUUUGGCACCUCGAUGUCGGCUCAUCACAUCCUGGGGCUGAAGUAGGUCCCAAGGGUAUGGCUGUUCGCCAUUUAAAGUGGUACGCGAGCUGGGUUUAGAACGUCGUGAGACAGUUCGGUCCCUAUCUGCCGUGGGCGCUGGAGAACUGAGGGGGGCUGCUCCUAGUACGAGAGGACCGGAGUGGACGCAUCACUGGUGUUCGGGUUGUCAUGCCAAUGGCACUGCCCGGUAGCUAAAUGCGGAAGAGAUAAGUGCUGAAAGCAUCUAAGCACGAAACUUGCCCCGAGAUGAGUUCUCCCUGACCCCUUAAGAGUCCUGAAGGAACGUUGAAGACGACGACGUUGAUAGGCCGGGUGUGUAAGCGCAGCGAUGCGUUGAGCUAACCGGUACUAAUGAACCGUGAGGCUUAACCUU
Molecule: ribosomal RNA, 1344 nt
Filed under: Escherichia coli KTE10
Lineage: Bacteria; Pseudomonadati; Pseudomonadota; Gammaproteobacteria; Enterobacterales; Enterobacteriaceae
Description: bacterial LSU rRNA
Rfam family: Bacterial large subunit ribosomal RNA
Source: RNAcentral